GUACUUGUCGUCAUCGAUACUUUUAUAAAAAUAGUAUUUCGUAAACGACUAGCUAAAACUAUACUCUAUUCAACUCGUCAAAUGAAUUCGGGACAUACGUUAAAACGUAACAAAAAAAUCCCUGUAACGAACAAAAAAUGACUGCGACCUAUAAAAAAAAGUCACUUCCGCGGCUGUGAACGUGGGAUCUGUCCCCCAUCGUGAAGCCCGUGGACAAUCGACGUAACCACUCUCUCGUGCCUUUUACCGCACUUGUACGGAUCCCGGACGAAGUGUAACGAUGCCGAGAGAUCGAUAAUAACCGCCGCGGUUUGGUUCCACCCGAGCCUCGUACGAGACAGGGACACUUUUUUCCUCCCCCCCCUCUCGACGAUCCUGCUAUCUCUCUCUUUAUCUGGCCAGCUUUCGUCAUCUCUCCUCCCGUUCCUCCUCGUGGCG
Molecule: unclassified non-coding RNA, 438 nt
Filed under: Bombus terrestris (buff-tailed bumblebee)
Lineage: Eukaryota; Metazoa; Arthropoda; Insecta; Hymenoptera; Apidae
Description: misc RNA ENSBTSG00005022571.1
Source: RNAcentral